RNAcentral lists this long non-coding RNA (1721 nucleotides) under Sparus aurata (gilthead seabream). Its description in RNAcentral is "lncRNA (ENSSAUG00010014784.1)". Lineage: Eukaryota; Metazoa; Chordata; Actinopteri; Spariformes; Sparidae. The record is from RNAcentral.
GUGUUUUCUGCUUUCACACUGACCAACAGUUACUUCAGUCUCUGCGAGAAGACUGCUGCUGAUUUUAAACAUUAUUUAUAUUCUUUGUGUCUUAUCCGUUUUACUAAACACAGCAGCUGCAACAAGUUAAUUCAAUACAGUCAACUUUCUGAUGAGAAGCUGAAGACUACGACAGCCAUGUUGUUGGCAGAAGCUGGAUGUGUGUUUAUGGGUUUCAUGCUGUGUUUCUCAGGGGUUCAAGGAAGAGCAAACAGCAUCUGUGCUUUAAAAGGUUCAUCAGUGGAUCUGCCCUGCUCAGCUGAACAUCCACCUACAACCAUGAAAUGGUACAAAGUACAGCCAAUUGGAUCUACAUUUAAUCUGAAGAACCUCCCUGCAGAUGACAGCCAUGUUAAGUACAUGUUGGGAGAGAACAACUUCAAUCUAACAAUCAAAGAUCUGACAGAGAGAGAUGCAAAACUUUACUGCUGCAGCAGCAAAGAGGAUGCAGGAACAUCCAGACAGAGUGAGCAAGGCAUGAUUGAGCUCCAUGUUGCAGGUAUGGUGACUGUCAGUAAUGAAUUACUUUAAGUCUGAUAUAAAUAUAUGAAUUCUUACUUUUCUUCCUCAUCAUCUCAGACCUGCAGGUGAAGGUGAUUCCCUCCACAGAGGGACACACAGUAACACUGAUGUGCAGCAGCAGCUGUCCUCUGACUGAAAACCCUGCAGCCUACAUCUGGUACAAGAACAGAGAGUUUCUCUAUGAGGACUGGUCUCCCUGGUACCAACAGCUGGUCAGCAGUGAGGAAGCAGUCACAUACUCCUGUGCUAUCAAAGGCUACGAGGAUCUCAGAGCCCCUCAAGUCUCAGUGGGUGAGUGACAACCAGUAACUCCUUACCAUGUUACCAAAACUAAACUGACCAAAUGUGUUAAUAAGAAAUAUUCCUGCACCAGAAACUUAAACUAUAACAUUUAUGACACAUGAUGAAAAGUCAACUAAAUUCACUAAAAACUGACACAAUUUCUUUUUGUCCAGAUUCUGUCACAUCAGCCUGCUUCAGUGUGACCUAUGCUAAAGGGAGAAUGUGUUCUUAUAAGCAGACAUCAGAGGAUGAGCCCUGCUCCAUCACAUAUCCAACAGAAGUGCAUGUUCAAAACACUCCUGCAGCUGAACCAUUCCAUGUCAGUCUGACCUGUAACACCAGCUGUCCUCAGACUGAUCUUCAGACUGCCUUGAGAGUGUACGAAAGCAGUAACUCAGAGGGACAGUAUGGGCUAAUAAACAAUAUAGUUCACUACUCAUCUCCGGAAAGCUUCUCCUGUGCUGUAAAAGGCCUCAAGGAUCUACACUCUGCUGCAGUCUGUGCUGAAGAUAAGAAAUGUUGGAGUGUGAAUUAUGUCAGCAGGAGAAUCUGUGCUGUUCACGGCUCCUCAGUGAACAUUUCAAGUGAAUAUUCUCAUCCUGACAACCAGCAGCCCCAGUCUAAAUUAUGGUAUAAAAUAAUCAGAAGUGGUACAAAGGAGACUGAAAAGCCUAUUGAAGUUGCAGGUCGUGUUGAGUAUGAGUAUGAAAACAUGAACAAUCAUCACAUCCUGUCAAUUAAAGACCUGACGAGGAAUGACUCAGCAGAAUACAAAUUCAAGAUCCAGACACACGACGAAUGGAAACAGUCAGAUUUUUCUGGAGUGACAUUGGUUGCCACAGGUAGUUCUUUAGAUUAAAUACAUUAUUUUUGAAUAG